Rhodamnia argentea is the source of this 262-nucleotide long non-coding RNA. RefSeq lists it as uncharacterized. Lineage: Eukaryota; Viridiplantae; Streptophyta; Magnoliopsida; Myrtales; Myrtaceae. The transcript has 3 exons. The record is from RefSeq and is a predicted model, not a curated record.
GAGCCAAGUUAACCUUUCAGUUAACAGAGCCAACCAUAACUCGGGCGAUCAGACAGGCAUGCUCGAGGAUAUGAGGGGUCGUUCAAGCUUGGAUGAUGUAUCAAGCUUCUAGGUAAAUGAAGCUUGCAAACCUUAACUCUUUUUUGAAAGAAAACUAGGAGACAUAUCUGCUUCUGCCAUUGACUGACCCGUGUACUUGCACUUUCCGAUCACCGCAGAGACUUCUGGUAUUCAAGACACUCAGUCAUAAUGCUCUUUAUAU